RNAcentral lists this ribosomal RNA (468 nucleotides) under uncultured bacterium. RNAcentral's name for it is "partial 16S ribosomal RNA". It matches the Rfam family "Bacterial small subunit ribosomal RNA", at positions 28 to 507 of the family's 1533-position model. The record is from RNAcentral.
GACGAACGCUGGCGGCGUGCUUAACACAUGCAAGUCGAACGGAACGUCCCUGCUUUUGUGGGGUGCUCGAGUGGCGAACGGGUGAGUAACACGUGAGUAACCUGCCCUUGACUUUGGGAUAACUUCAGGAAACUGGGGCUAAUACCGGAUAGGAGCUCCUGCUUCAUGGUGGGGGUUGGAAAGUUUCGGCGGUUGGGGAUGGACUUGCGGCUUAUCAGCUUGGUGGUGGGGUAGUUGCUUACCAAGGCUUUGACGGGUAGCCGGCCUGAGAGGGUGACCGGCCACAUUGGGACUGAGAUACGGCCCAGACUCCUACGGGAGGCAGCAGUGGGGAAUAUUGCACAAUGGGCGGAAGCGUGAUGCAGCAACGCCGCGUGCGGGAUGACGGCCUUCGGGUUGUAAAACGCUUUCGCCUGUGACGAAGCGUGAGUGACGGUAAUGGGUAAAGAAGCACCGGCUAACUACGUG